CAUUGAUCUAGCAAAAAAUUAAGGCAGAUUUUGACGUUUCAGCCCACUUAAGAGGACAAUAGCCCUUUGCGCCUGAGCCCAAAAAGUAAUUUUGAGCAAAAAAUUUGCUAAAUUCUGAGUAAUUCAAGCAGGAUCUGACUACAAAAAAAUGUUGCAUACAAUACAGAAGUCGAUCAAGUACGUUUUUUUCGUAGCUAAAUCCUGCUUUCAUUUCUCCAAAUUUGCGUUUCACUCAUCAUAAUGCAUUUCUUAAUUAAUUGUGUUUCUCUCGCAGGUUGAGACUCCCGAGCCAGUUAAAACGCAGGCCUUUUCCCUAGAUUCAGUUCCAAGUACAGGUAUUCAGGAAGGACACUUUAUCAGACAAGAAGAAAAUGCCAAUCGAACGUCCCGCACCUCACUUUGAGCGAAGUUUAAGUGGCCGUAGGCUUACCUCUAGGAGUAUGGAUGCUCUAGGUGACUCUCCGCAACAUGUGAAGGUUGACUUCAAUGCAGAUGCAAAUAAAAACAAACGGCACACAAUGUCCCACCCGCCUCAACAUAUAUCAGAAGCAGAAAAUAAUAGCAAAGAAAAAUUGAAGCCAAUGGAUAAUUUUAAAUUAGCCAAGAAGUUCAUCAAAGGCAAGGGGGAGAGUGAUAGUAGUGCAAACUCACUUAGCUCGCUAGAGGGUGAUUACGAAGCCGAUCCGAGAAAACCGCCACGAAAACCUAUGAAGGUUUUGAGAGAAAACAGUGGCUCAUACCACUACCACCAGCGGUAAGAGACAAGAACAGCGUACCGUGACACAGGAAGUGAGAGCUACCUCCACAAUUGUUGCCGAUACAACCAAGUAAGUAAUGAAUUUCUUGAACAGUCCCUGUAAUUCUGAAAGAACUGAUCUCUAGUACUCAAAUACCUUAUCUCCCUCAAUUUUUCUUAUUCUACCACCACAUUUCGUAAUAUGAGCGCUGAAAACCAAUGAAGGAAGAGGCAGGGGAAUAUAGUGUAAGUGGGGGCUCCAGGAAAUGUAUCAUUUUAUUGCUUGUCUAUAGUUGUCUAAACCGUGUGUAAUGACAUAAAUCAUUGGAAAAUAUAGAGAUUUUUGCUUAUUAGUUUGAUCAAUUUUUUUUUUCAUUCAGCGAAUUAUUUUUUCUAAAAAGCUGCCAUAUAUAAUAGUUAAAACUUGUUUGAAUAAAUUACAAAUCGUGAAGUACACAUUUUUUGCCAGCAAUAGGGAAGAAUUUAAUGAAAAUUUCGUUUGUAUAAUAUUGGAGUGUAAACAUUUUCAAUGAUGAGAAAACAUCAAAAGUACUCAAAGAUGUUCUGGGAUAGCGGUUGUAGUAAAAACUCCCAUAAAAAUUUAAGAGAACAGUCAAUUUAAAGUUUUGGCAAUUCAGGUUUUAAUUUUUGUCGCCUAGUUUUAUACAAUACAUUGUUAGUUUUAGAAAAUUAGCUGUGUUUCUCUGCACUGUGUGUUCAAUCAUUUCGCUCAACUUUUUAAUACUCUUCAGGUAUCAGAGUAAUAGCUGAAAUAGUGUCAAGUGAAAGUCAUCAAUGUAUGAAUGUGCCUUAAGUUAUUGUGAUGUUGUAGAUGUGAUCAUAGGCUUAUUGAUGCAUUGAUGUCCUUUUGUUAGUUUAUUUUAGCAUCCACUUCAGCAAAAAAUUAAGCGCUUUUGCCGCUAGGCUAUUAUGAUGUUAGUUGAUUGUUGCAUUCAUCACAAAUUUAUCCUGUGUUCGCUUGGCAAAUCGUGAGCUGCAAUUUUGCCUUGCUGCAAUGAGUUUAAUCAAUAUUUUUUGUUGCUUGCAUUGACGCGCAG
This 1794-nucleotide long non-coding RNA is filed under the name Bemisia tabaci. RNAcentral's name for it is "lncRNA ENSSWEETPG006849". The record is from RNAcentral. Lineage: Eukaryota; Metazoa; Arthropoda; Insecta; Hemiptera; Aleyrodidae.